Lolium rigidum is the source of this 2673-nucleotide long non-coding RNA. RefSeq lists it as uncharacterized. The transcript is spliced from 8 exons. NCBI's taxonomy places the organism in Eukaryota, Viridiplantae, Streptophyta, Magnoliopsida, Poales, Poaceae. The record is from RefSeq and is a predicted model, not a curated record.
GCCCAUUUUGACUUCUCAAGAAUAACUGAAUGUAUGAUUACUUCAUAAGAUAUUGCCAUCUGAUGUGUAAAUUAUAUUGUGGAAGGAAGAUGAAGAUAUUCAGGGCAACUAACGGUCAUGAGAUAGGGAAUGAAGUCGUCGAGGCAGCACAAACUCUCGGUGUCGUGGCCACCAGCGAGUGGCAAGGGCGCAACCAGUGAUAAAGGUUGAGGUCUACAGUCGGCAGUCCGGUUGUGGCCAAUGUCCUUGCACGUUGGCCUCCCAUGCCUAGAUGAAGGUUCUAAGCCCUAGGUGCUCUCCUCCUUGGCGUCGGAUCUAACUUGCCGGAGAGUGUUCAAUCAUGGAUGAGUUGUCAGCCGCUAACAGACGAAGUCUAUUUUGCAGUACAAAGGAAACUUCAGAGAAGAUCAAGGCCAAGAACAAAGUGACCAUGUUGCAGGCCAAGAACAAAGUGACCAUGUUGCAGGCAAGGUCAUCUACAUUCAUGGAGGAAAUUGUUCCGCAUGAUCCUCAUAUGAUGAAUACGAAGUGAUAUCUGCCCUUCUGGUAGCCAGGUUCGACUAGAAUUUCAGUUUAGAGUUCAUGAUUAUGCACUAAUCUGUUUAGAAAUAAAUAUUGUCUUGGCGAAUAUUAUUAGCCAUUUUCGUGAAAAUGUGGUGAAAAGUCAUUUGACAGGUUCAGGUAAAGAUUUUCCAUAUAUUUCGUUUGACGAGUUCCGGUAAAUAUUUUCUCACAGUUUAUUUUGUGUCCAAAUUCACGUGUUUUUAUCAUUGACUUCCAUAAACCUUUAGGAUUUGCUUUUGUUUACCAGCAACUUCAAAGGUGUCCAGAAAUGCUCUGUUUCAAGUGCUCUGUUUUGAGAUGCUGGAAAUGCUCUUUAAUACUUAUCGUUAUUAAAUUUGAGUUUGCAUUUUGGAAAAAAAAACAGCUAAUGGGUGCUAGGGAUAAUGACCGUUGCUGCAUUACAAUUCAUCUUUACCAUUUAUUUGUGAUUAAGCUCGAUUGUUUGUCACGAAAUGACACAUGUAAUAGGCAUGCUAUUUCACUACCAUUCAAUUAUAGCUUAUGUAACCUCUGCAUGUCAUUGAUUUGUCAUUCGGGAUAUCCGCCUUGGGCUCUACUCUGGGAUCGCGUCUGCAAUGUUGAGCCACUCCCGGAGGUACAGUGGUGGGAUUCGCCGUGGUCAGUCUGACCCCUGGCAAGGUGUCAACACUAGUGAUCUCGCCAUCUCUCUACCAUCCCGAGAUACUUCUAUUUUGUGUUGCGGCUAUAUUAUAUGUAUAUAUUAUGUCCAAGAGAUAUGUGGUGUGGGGAGUUGCUGUUGCAGUACAUGGAAAAAAUGAUCUUCCUUUACUUCAUGAUUAGAUAUUCUUUCCCAUGGAUCAUAAAUAGCUUGGGAUUUUCUCCCUUGCGUCCGGCUUUAUUCUUAUGCAGUUCAUCUCUUUUUUGUUGCGCCCUUUAUGUAAAUAUGUACAAAAUAUAUAAUUGUGAUCAGUUGCAGGUGUUUAGAGUAUUCUUGUUCACCAGGGAGCACGAGGAGUUGGGGAGGAAGGACGAGCCCACAACCAUCCAUCAGCGAUGGCAAGCAGCGAAGGGUCAAGUUGGAGGCAAACAUCAAGAAGCAUGUAAGAAGGUGACAGUCGCUGGAGCAUACUGUAGCUCGGACAAUUACCACAAGAACUUGAGUUUGAGACACUGAAGCAAACUAGGUAAAUGUUCUCUGAAUAAAAGUAUUAAUAUGCUUGUUUGUGUGUUGUCUGUGAUGUGUGGGUGAGAGAAAAGUGAGCAGAUUUUUAAUGGGGAAUGAAAAUUAUAUGUCCAUGUUCUAUUUUUCUUGGGUAUCAAAGGGUCUCUUUGUUAUUUCUCAAUUUUCAAAAAUAUAUGCCCAGACACACAGUAUUAAGUCAGUUGAUGCUAUUGGGUAUCAUGGAUGUCUUGAAUCUUUUUUUUAGAAGAGGGCCCCAACGAGGGGAGCCCCGGCUCCAUUUUCAUCAAUGAAAGCAGAGUCUUUUUACAUCAUGAUCAUCUUUUUUGCUGAAAGUAAAAGACAGGAAUGCCCUCAGGCAGAAACUAAAAGUUCAUUACAGGGACGGUCUUUCCAGCUAGAAACAACAGGGGAAACCUAAAGGUAAAACAAGAAAGCUCGAGGACAUGAAGUGGUGGCCGAGGCGGAGUAGCCUCCUAGCUUCAUCUCGACUUGUACUGCUGAACCAUGCACAUGAGGCUGUCCUUGAUCAUCUCUUUCGGCAGCAGGUCUCCAUCUCUUGCAGUCAGAUUGUUCCAACUAGGGUUCCAGAACGAAGUGAUGGGCGAAGCCACACAAGGCUUAGAGCUGCUUGCAGGUGUCGAUGGAGCAACGGGCUACACCAGUAGCUGAUCCAGGAGAGAAGACGCCAAGUAAGCAAGAGAUAGUGAAGCCACAGGUAUCACACCCAAGGCAGGGGCUUUGGCCACCUGUAACUGCUGGGAGAAAGUGUAUCUGUAGAAGCAUAGACCCCGAGAUUUAUACUCGUGAGAAAAUCACGAGUUUCUCAGAUUUUAUACCACCAUGUAGAUGUCUUGCAUCUAAGAUCUAUACUUACGAGAAAAUCACAAGUUUCUUAGAUUUUGUAACACCAUGUAUAUGUCUGAGUUCUUAAAGAAAAUAAAUGCUAGAGUAUAUGCUUAUAGGUA